Prosopis cineraria is the source of this 1103-nucleotide long non-coding RNA. RefSeq lists it as uncharacterized. The transcript is spliced from 4 exons. NCBI's taxonomy places the organism in Eukaryota, Viridiplantae, Streptophyta, Magnoliopsida, Fabales, Fabaceae. The record is from RefSeq and is a predicted model, not a curated record.
UCUCCCAUUUUCAGUGGUCGCCGGAGUAAGUGGAGACUAUUAGUCGGUGGUUGGAGAGUGCUUGGUGCUGUUGCAGAGUCACCUUUCCUAUUUGCUGUUCUGCUUCCUCCGUCCGUGUUUUUAUCGGUUGUGGAAUGGAGCGAUGUCAGUUCUGGUCUGGGGGGAGUUUUUAAUCCUUCUCCCUGCUUCAUCUUGGCUGGUUUGAGAUCUGUGAAUGGAGAGAAGAGCUGAUUCAUCCAUUUCUUCAUCUCUCCCCUGCACUUCGUCUCUUCCCUCCCAUUCCUGGUGGUCGCUGGCAGAAGGGGAGCCUUGUCGCAGCUGUGCAAAGCUCAGAGCUGCUGGUUCUGCCAUCGCGAGCUUGAUCCACAGUUGUUGAUUUAAUUUGUUUUCUCUUUUGCAAGCUGCGUUCGGUUUUCCCUCUCCCCUGUGCAGCCAUCUAAACCAUCUCCUCUCUCCUUUCUUUCUGUCGUGGAUUUAAGUUGUAAAUUUGUCUUCUCUCUUUCUUCGGAUGGCAGCGCCUCUUGUUCUCUUCAUCCUCUGCAGUUAUUAGUGAUUAAGGAGGUUUGGAAGAAGAAGAUUUUGAUAGGAACUAAAAGGGAGAAAAAUCUUUGAAAAUUUGGGAACACCACAGUUCUAGCAGCUUUUCGUAGCAAGCCGCCUUCCAGUUUAUGGAAUCAUUCGCUUUCAUAGGAAUUUCCACCUGGUCUGAAUUUCUCAUUGUAGCUAUCUCCUUGAUCAAAAUUGAACAAUGGUGUUGAACCAAUGAGAAGAUGCUAAAGGAUCAGCAGCAAAUAGUGCAAAACAAGAUGUGCAAUGGGAAGAGUAGCUAGAGAAGAAAUAAACUUGAAAGAGAUGAAAACAACUCAAGAACAAGAGAGUUUUAAAGCUGAGGAAUAAGAAGAAAUGAAAAUGAGAUCCGAGAAAAAGACGCAGGAGCGCAUGGCUGCAGGAAACAAAGCGAAACAUGUGUUUCAAUCGGAUUCGUUUCUUAGAAACUUACAGAGAGAAAAAAGAGAGUCGUUAAUGUGGUUAUCGAAUAAAGGAAGCUGAUCCUGGAGAAGACACUGGCUGGAACAAAAAAUAAAGUGUGUUGAAACUUGAAA